This 1569-nucleotide long non-coding RNA is filed under the name Paramuricea clavata. The record is from RNAcentral. Lineage: Eukaryota; Metazoa; Cnidaria; Anthozoa; Malacalcyonacea; Plexauridae.
CCCCUUAGAAACGUCACACAUAGUUAUCGAUAUUUUGUUCUUAUAGUACACAUAAGCUAAUUUUUUACGGUUCACUUUUGGCGAUGCUUCCACGAGGAAUUGUCAUCUCCUGCUGACAUAUGUUUUUUAUUAAGGGGAAGGUACACAUGAAAUUUUUCAUUCUAGGCAAUUUUUUUUUCGUUUUUAAAUGAGACAUUGGAGAACCAUCCUGAAGUUGACUUGGUUGCCAUGGGAACGUGUUUGUUAUUUUUUUUAUUUUUUUGCCUUUUUCUCCCUGAUAAACGUAAAUUUAUGCAUGUCAUCUACAUUUCUGACUACACGAAGUUCUUCACAAGGCCUAGAUGCCAACAAUGCAUCAUGGACAGGUGUGCCUUAAAGCAAAGCCUAGUAAAGUAUACCCCUAAAAAUGUGAGUUAUGUGACUAUCUUCCCAGUAUAGGCAGGACAAAAAACCUUGCUGUAAUCAGUAAUUAAAAACUUCACAUAAAACAGCUUGCACUGCGCAUGCACUUGCAAGCAUGGCCUAAACUCUUCAGCCAAAAGCAAAUCCAUGCGCUUUGUGACGUACUGCGUGGGAAAGCUGCGUACAUUAAAGUUCUUUUUCCGCAAAACAUUCGACAACAUGUUAUGGUUCUUAAUUAUAAUACUUGAGAACUUUGUUUUGAUUAUUAAUUUAAAUAAAGAUUAGUUUGUUCUCAGGGGCGUGGGAACCGGGGGCCAGCCCCCCCCCCCCUUCCAAGUUUUGCCAAGUGCCCUUUUUCCGGUAGCAAAGUGCCCUUUUCUUGCGUGGAAAAUGUCUUAAGGAUUGCCUUUUUUUGCCCAAAGCACACUUUUGAAAACAUGAAUUUAUGUUAUUUUCCGAAAAAUUUUUUUCAAUUCCCAGGAAAAUAUGAUGUAUCCGGAAAAAUUUUUGGUAUAUCCGGAAAAUUUUUUUCAUAUUUAGGAAAAAAUGUGGUAUAUCCGGAAAUAUUUUUUUGGUAUGACCGGAAAAAAUUUUUCAAACCUCCCCCUCCCCAACUUUUCCGGGAAAAAAUUUUUAGAUGCCCUUUUUUAUUCGGAAAGUGCCCCUCAAAGCCUGGCCCCCCGCCCAACUUUUAUAAGCUUCCUACGUCCCUGUUUGUUCUUUUACCGAAAGUGACCGGUCAAAAUGACCGGCAAGGUAAGAAUUUGACGGGACAACUCCGCUUUCUGACCGAACAUUGUCCGUUGACCGGCCGUUAUUUCACAUAAAAGGGUAAAAGUCAACGCUCUGCCGAAAGUCGUGAGUUUUCUCGGGAUACUCCGGUUACCCCCCACAGAGCGGAAAGUUGACAAGGGUGGGUUAAGUCAACAGGCAGGUUAGGGGCAGAUCAUUAAUGAGGUACGGACUGAUAGCGGCUGCUUAAAGCGCCAUCUGUAAUUACGCUCACAGUCUUACCUCGGUCUGCUUCACGCCAGUUCCGGUUCUAAUGUAACCAGUCACUGAAAAACCUUGAUAGGGAGUGUGCUGUGCAAUAUCUGUAUCUGCAAGGGGACGACCCAGAGGAGGAAUGAGGGUCUUCCCGAAAUGCAACGCUCGAAUCAGUGCGGC